UUAAAAAUGUGUGACAAGGUUGUUGAUGACAGUGGAAAACCUGUUCACCUCUCUGAAGAACAGACUAGGAAUAUCUCAGAUGUUAUAAAUGGCUUUGCUUCUGAAGCUCUGAGAACCCUCUGCUUGGCUUUUAAAGAUCAAGAUGACAUUUCUGAAGAAAACAGCAUCCCUGAUUUUGGCUACACAUUGGUAGCCAUUGUUGGAAUCAAGGAUCCAGUGCGCCCUGGAGUCAGGAAUGCAGUUCAGACUUGUUUAGAAGCUGGAAUUACUGUUCGUAUGGUAACUGGUGAUAAUAUAAAUACAGCUAAAGCUAUAGCCAAAGAAUGUGGCAU
This 332-nucleotide unclassified non-coding RNA is filed under the name Hevea brasiliensis (rubber tree). Lineage: Eukaryota; Viridiplantae; Streptophyta; Magnoliopsida; Malpighiales; Euphorbiaceae. The record is from RNAcentral.